RNAcentral lists this ribosomal RNA (459 nucleotides) under uncultured bacterium. RNAcentral's name for it is "partial 16S ribosomal RNA". It matches the Rfam family "Bacterial small subunit ribosomal RNA", at positions 338 to 795 of the family's 1533-position model. The record is from RNAcentral.
CCUACGUGAGGCAGCAGUGAGGAAUAUUGGUCAAUGGGCGAGAGCCUGAACCAGCCAAGUCGCGUGAGGGAGUACUGCCCUAUGGGUUGUAAACCUCUUUUGUCGGGGAGCAAAAGCCGGACGUGUACGGCUGUGAGAGUACCCGAAGAAAAAGCAUAGGCUAACUCCGUGCCAGCAGCCGCGGUAAUACGGAGGAUGCGGGCGUUAUCCGGAUUUAUUGGGUUUAAAGGGAGCGUCGGUGGAUUGUUAAGUCAGUUGUGAAAGUUUGCGGCUCAACCGUAAAAUUGCAGUUGAAACUGGCAGUCUUGAGUACAGUAGAGGUGGGCGGAAUUCGUGGUGUAGCGGUGAAAUGCUUAGAUAUCACGAAGAACUCCGAUUGCGAAGGCAGCUCACUGGACUGCAACUGACGCUGAUGCACGAAAGCGUGGGUAUCAAACAGGAUUAGAUACCCGGGUAGUC